RNAcentral lists this ribosomal RNA (429 nucleotides) under uncultured archaeon. RNAcentral describes it as "bacterial SSU rRNA". It matches the Rfam family "Archaeal small subunit ribosomal RNA", at positions 474 to 903 of the family's 1478-position model. The record is from RNAcentral.
UACCAGCUCUCCGAGUGGUAGGGAUGUCUAUUGGGCUUAAAGCGUCCGUAGCCGGCUUAGCAAGUCUCCUGUUAAAUUCAGCGACCUAAUCGUUGAGCCGCGGGAGAUACUACUAGGCUAGGAGGCGGGAGAGGUCAACGGUACUUCCGGGGUAGGGGUGAAAUCCUAUAAUCCCGGGAGGACCACCAGUGGCGAAGGCUGUUGACUAGAACGCGCUCGACGGUGAGGGACGAAAGCUGGGGGAGCGAACCGGAUUAGAUACCCGGGUAGUCCCAGCUGUAAACGAUGCGAGCUAGGUGUUGGGGUGGCUACGUGCCACUUCAGUGCCGCAGGGAAGCCAUUAAGCUCGCCGCCUGGGGAGUACGGCCGCAAGGCUGAAACUUAAAGGAAUUGGCGGGGGAGCACCACAAGGCGUGAAGCUUGCGGUUC